Molecule: long non-coding RNA, 375 nt
Filed under: Brassica rapa (field mustard)
Lineage: Eukaryota; Viridiplantae; Streptophyta; Magnoliopsida; Brassicales; Brassicaceae
Description: long non-coding RNA (BRAP_LNC002071)
Source: RNAcentral
GGGCGUCGUGGUAUUGCUCCGUGUAGACAGGAUCUUCGAGAAUUAGUGAGAUGACUUCUAGUGAUAUCUUGUUUGGUGAAGUAGGUGCAGCUGAGCCGUCCACAAAUGAACAUACUGAUGACUAUGUCCACAUUUUUCAUGCCAUCCACAAGUUCCAUUCAAACGGUAAUCUUUACCAAACUUGUAGUUUUUAUCCACAAAGAAAAUUUUCGAUCCACACAACAAAUGUCCAUACAUCAUUUGUCUGUCCACAUUUGAGUAUCCACAAUUGUAAUUUUCAUUAAGGGUAAAAUGGUCCAUAAUUUAUCUCUGGCCCACAACAAAAUGUGUCACAUGUAAGAAGUGUCUCUAGAUGUAAAGGAAAGUCAAAAAGUG